This 406-nucleotide ribosomal RNA is filed under the name uncultured bacterium. RNAcentral's name for it is "partial 16S ribosomal RNA". It matches the Rfam family "Bacterial small subunit ribosomal RNA", at positions 30 to 526 of the family's 1533-position model. The record is from RNAcentral.
AUCGAACGCUGGCGGCAAGCCUAACACAUGCAAGUCGAACGAGUGGCGGACGGGUGAGUAAUGUCUGGGAAACUGCCUGAUGGAGGGGGAAAACUACUGGAAACGGUAGCUAAUACCGCAUCCCAUCGGAUGUGCCCAGAUGGGAUUAGCUAGUGGGUGGGGUAAAGGCUAACCUGGGCGACGAUCCCUAGCUGGUCUGAGAGGAUGACGUGCCACAUUGGAACUGGGAAACGGUCCAGACUCCUACGGGAGGAAGCAGUGGGGAAUAUUGCACAAUGGCCGCAAGCCUGAUGCAGCACUGCCGCGUGUAGAAAGAAGGCCUUCGGGUUGUAAAGUACUUUCAGCGGGGAGGCGUUACCCGCAGAAGAAGCACCGGCUAACUCCGUGCCAGCAGCCGCGGUAAUAC